This is a long non-coding RNA of Oryzias melastigma (Indian medaka), 860 nucleotides long. RefSeq lists it as uncharacterized. The record is from RefSeq and is a predicted model, not a curated record. The transcript has 5 exons. Lineage: Eukaryota; Metazoa; Chordata; Actinopteri; Beloniformes; Adrianichthyidae.
CGUCAGAUCCGUUUAGUCGGGUUGAAGCCAUAGCCCGGGAAGCUGGUUUCAUGCCGUCGCUGCUAAAUCCGUGUCCAUCCGUCUGUAAAUGUUAAAUAUUUGUGAUCUUUAAGGCAUUAUUUUAGUUGAAAAAAACGUGAAUUUUGUUUAUUUAUUAGUUUUGUUUCGUAAUAGUAUUUUCUGAAGAUUUUAAGACGAAAGUGUUCUACCAUCUGCGGCAUUAGCAUGGCGGACAGUUCUGUUCGAGUUUCUGAUAUUUUUGUGUGGAGAACCUACAGCGGGAGGAUGGACACCAUCGACAUAAAAAGGAUCUGGGAUCUAGAUCCAGACUGACUGACCCCGGUCUGUACUGCUUUGACUUGAAACAGGCUUUGGCUGAGGAUCUGCUGCCAGAGGAUGAACGUCUAGGCACGCCAAAUGGACUUCAGGUCGUUUCUGAAGGACCUCUAACAGGGGUCAUGUGACCUGCGUGACUUCAGCAUUUCAGGUUUUAUCAAGAGGCGCAUCGAUGAAAACCAGUUUGUGCUGAAAGCUUUGAAGACUCAAACCCCAACUUCUGAAGCACUUUAAUCUGAUAAAUGUUUGUUUUAAAACAAAAAUAUGUACACGGCCUGUUUUUCUCUUUGUAUUCUUUUCAUAUGGCAGAAAACAAACAUCUGAUUAAAGACCACCAUGAAAUAAGGAAGAUUUAUUUCUUAUUUUGAUUCUUUUUAUUUCUGAGAGAAUACUUGAUCCAGACUAGAUUUACAAUCUUUUUGUGAGUUUAUAUGGUCUGUUUUAACACUUUUAUUGUAGUGGGUUUGUGCACUCAUUUUUAUUGAUUGGACUAUGAGUAUGGAAUAAAUGUAAUCUACAUUUGA